This 391-nucleotide ribosomal RNA is filed under the name Syndiniales sp. RNAcentral describes it as "partial small subunit ribosomal RNA". It matches the Rfam family "Eukaryotic small subunit ribosomal RNA", at positions 582 to 975 of the family's 1831-position model. Lineage: Eukaryota; Dinophyceae; Syndiniales. The record is from RNAcentral.
AUUCCAGCUCCAAUAGCGUAUAUUAAAGUUGUUGCGGUUAAAAAGCUCGUAGUUGGAUUUCUGUCAAAGGUAAGGCGGUCCAUCUUAUGGAUGUGCAUCUGCCUAUGCCUUGGCAUCCUCAUGAAGAACGUUUUCGCGCUUCACUGCGUGUUUACGGUAUUCAUGACUUUUACUUUGAGGAAAUUAGAGUGUUCACGGCAGGCAAUCGCUUUGGAUACAUUAGCAUGGAAUAAUACUAUAGGACCUCGGUUCUAUUUUGUUGGUUUCUAGAGCUGAGGUAAUGAUUAAUAGGGAUAAUUGGGGGUCUUUGUAUUGCAACGUCAGAGGCGAAAUUCUUGGAUUGUUGCACGACAAACUACUGCGAAAGCAUUGACCAAGGAUGUUUUCAUUG